This 1495-nucleotide long non-coding RNA is filed under the name Homo sapiens (human). Its description in RNAcentral is "PREDICTED lncRNA (TCONS_00274203)". The record is from RNAcentral. Lineage: Eukaryota; Metazoa; Chordata; Mammalia; Primates; Hominidae.
GGCAGGGGGCGGAGCGCAGCGCAGCGCGGGGCGGCGGGAAAGGGGCGGAGAGGAUAGCUUGGGCUCUGGCGGGCCGCGGGACUGGCAGAACCUGCGGGCGAGGUGGGUGGCUCGCCAGCCGGGACGAAGGGAAAUGAGGACCACCGCUCCGGGGCGCGAGUAGGCGCGUGGAGUCCGGGGGCUCAGCCGCCGCGCCUCUUCCUCCUGCAGCUGGAGACUGCAACAGCGGCGGGUGCACCGGCAGCAGCGACGACCCUGCGCGCAGGUGGCAGUGUAGAAGCCAGACCGGGAGCUUCCAGAAGUGGUUUCUGAAAGAGUCAAAUGUACAUGAGUAAGCAAGCACAGGAAUCUGAAAAACCACAGGCCCACUAAUUUGCCUGCUUGACUAAAAUAAGGACGAGUUAUGUGCUGAUGAGAGACAUGUUUGUAAUGUUAUUCGUUGUGACACAGUUCAAAAGAAUUUGCCUUUGAUUCUCACUAAAAUGUAAAGUUUUGCAUAUUAAGAUCCUUUUUCAACAACUGAGCAACUCUUUAUAAUGAAGGGCAGAAGACGCCAAAGGGAAGAAAAUAUUUACCUUUGUGGGCUUUUACUUUCUUUCCUGGGAAUGGUAGGCCAUAGCUAUUGGUAUGUUUUUUUGUUGUUGUUGUUGUUGUUGUUGUUGUUUUUUGAGAAGGAGUCUCUGUCGCCCAGGCUGUAGUGUAGUGGCAUGAUCUCGACUCACUGCAACCUUCACCUCGGGUUCAAGCGAUUCCCCUGCCCCAGCCUCCUGAGUGGCUGAGAUUACAGGCACCCACCACCAGGCCCGGCUAAUUUUUGUAUUUUUAGUAGAGAUGGGGUUUCACCAUGUUGGUAAGGCUGGUCUCCAACUCCUGACCUCGGGUGAUCCUCCCGCCUCGGUCUCCCAAAGCGCUGGGAUUACAGGCAUGAGCCAGCGCCUACCACCGCUAUUGGUACUUUCACACGGAUGCUAAAGUUAUUGUGCUGGCCGUGUUAAGGGUCAGGCAUCAAAAUGGCCGCUCAAGAGAAUGAAGCUUUCUCUUUGUGCAGAUGCAACGGGUGGGAUGGGGUGCACAAUUAUCACAGUGCUGGUUGUGGUGUUACCUCGACAUUCUGCCUUACAGCUGAGGAGGGAUUUGUUUCGUCCCUGCUAAUGAAGGUGUUAAAUAAACUUGGAUGCUGUUAUUGAAGCUUAAAAAAUAAAUGGAAGCUGGGUGCGAUGGCUCAAGCCUGGAAUCCCAGCACUUUGAGAGACCGAGAUGGGAGGAUUGCUUGAGCUCAGGAGUUCAAGACCAGCCUAGACAACAUGGCAACACCCUGUCUCUACAAAAAAUUACAAAAAGUAGCCAGGCGUGGUGAUGUGCACCUGUAGCUAUGUGUACCUGUAGUCCCACACAGUCGGGAGGCUGAGGUGGGAGCCUCCCUUGAGCCUGGCAGGUCAAGGCUGUGAUGAGCCACGAUCAUGCCACUGCACUCCAGCCUGGGUGUGACAGUGAG